This 28-nucleotide non-coding RNA is filed under the name Rattus norvegicus (Norway rat). The record is from RNAcentral. Lineage: Eukaryota; Metazoa; Chordata; Mammalia; Rodentia; Muridae.
UGCAAGAGCUAGCUUUAUUCAGACUAAC